Molecule: ribosomal RNA, 898 nt
Filed under: Pseudomonas azotoformans
Lineage: Bacteria; Pseudomonadati; Pseudomonadota; Gammaproteobacteria; Pseudomonadales; Pseudomonadaceae
Description: bacterial SSU rRNA
Rfam family: Bacterial small subunit ribosomal RNA
Source: RNAcentral
CCAUCAAGACUGAUGCGGCGCCGCUCACAUGCAGUCGAGCGGUAGAGAGAAGCUUGCUUCUCUUGAGAGCGGCGGACGGGUGAGUAAUGCCUAGGAAUCUGCCUGGUAGUGGGGGAUAACGUUCGGAAACGGACGCUAAUACCGCAUACGUCCUACGGGAGAAAGCAGGGGACCUUCGGGCCUUGCGCUAUCAGAUGAGCCUAGGUCGGAUUAGCUAGUUGGUGAGGUAAUGGCUCACCAAGGCGACGAUCCGUAACUGGUCUGAGAGGAUGAUCAGUCACACUGGAACUGAGACACGGUCCAGACUCCUACGGGAGGCAGCAGUGGGGAAUAUUGGACAAUGGGCGAAAGCCUGAUCCAGCCAUGCCGCGUGUGUGAAGAAGGUCUUCGGAUUGUAAAGCACUUUAAGUUGGGAGGAAGGGUUGUAGAUUAAUACUCUGCAAUUUUGACGUUACCGACAGAAUAAGCACCGGCUAACUCUGUGCCAGCAGCCGCGGUAAUACAGAGGGUGCAAGCGUUAAUCGGAAUUACUGGGCGUAAAGCGCGCGUAGGUGGUUUGUUAAGUUGGAUGUGAAAUCCCCGGGCUCAACCUGGGAACUGCAUUCAAAACUGACUGACUAGAGUAUGGUAGAGGGUGGUGGAAUUUCCUGUGUAGCGGUGAAAUGCGUAGAUAUAGGAAGGAACACCAGUGGCGAAGGCGACCACCUGGACUAAUACUGACACUGAGGUGCGAAAGCGUGGGGAGCAAACAGGAUUAGAUACCCUGGUAGUCCACGCCGUAAACGAUGUCAACUAGCCGUUGGAAGCCUUGAGCUUUUAGUGGCGCAGCUAACGCAUUAAGUUGACUGCCUGGGGAGUACGGCCGCAAGGUUAAAUCUCACAGAAAAUUUUAACGGAC